This 460-nucleotide ribosomal RNA is filed under the name uncultured bacterium. RNAcentral's name for it is "partial 16S ribosomal RNA". It matches the Rfam family "Bacterial small subunit ribosomal RNA", at positions 338 to 795 of the family's 1533-position model. The record is from RNAcentral.
CCUACGGGAGGCAGCAGUGAGGAAUAUUGGUCAAUGGACGAGAGUCUGAACCAGCCAAGUAGCGUGAAGGAUGACUGCCCUAUGGGUUGUAAACUUCUUUUAUAAAGGAAUAAAACGAGGCACGUGUGCCUUUUUGCAUGGACUUUAUGAAUAAGGAUCGGCUAACUCCGUGCCAGCAGCCGCGGUAAUACGGAGGAUCCGAGCGUUAUCCGGAUUUAUUGGGUUUAAAGGGAGCGUAGAUGGGUUGUUAAGUCAGUUGUGAAAGUUUGCGGCUCAACCGUAAAAUUGCAAUUGAUACUGGCAGUCGUGAGUACAGUUGAGGUAGGCGGAAUUCGUGGUGUAGCGGUGAAAUGCUUAGAUAUCACGAAGAACCCCGAUUGCGAAGGCAGCUUACUAAACUGUGACUGACAUUGAUGCUCGAAAGUGUGGGUAUCAAACAGGAUUAGAUACCCUUGUAGUC